Molecule: ribosomal RNA, 306 nt
Filed under: uncultured Thermus sp.
Lineage: Bacteria; Thermotogati; Deinococcota; Deinococci; Thermales; Thermaceae
Description: bacterial SSU rRNA
Rfam family: Bacterial small subunit ribosomal RNA
Source: RNAcentral
UUGGGUUAAGUCCCGCAACGAGCGCAACCCCGCCGUAGUUGCCAGCGGUUCGGCCGGGCACUCUAACGGGGACUGCCCGCGAAAGCGGGAGGAAGGAGGGGACGACGUCUGGUCAGCAUGGCCCUUACGGCCUGGGCGACACACGUGCUACAAUGCCCACUACAAAGCGAGGCCACCCGGCAACGGGGAGCUAAUCGCAAAAAGGUGGGCCCAGUUCGGAUUGGGGCCUGCAACCCGACCCCAUGAAGCCGGAAUCGCUAGUAAUCGCGGAUCAGCCAUGCCGCGGUGAAUACGUUCCCGGGCCUU